RNAcentral lists this ribosomal RNA (645 nucleotides) under embryophyte environmental sample. Its description in RNAcentral is "eukaryotic LSU rRNA". The stretch from base 236 to 391 matches the Rfam family "5.8S ribosomal RNA". Lineage: Eukaryota; Viridiplantae; Streptophyta. The record is from RNAcentral.
AAAGGAUCAUUAUUCGUGACCCUGACCAAAACAGACCGUGCUCGCGUCAUCCAAUCCUCCGACGAUGGCAAUGUUCGUCGUUCGGCCAAUUCCUCGACCGCCUCCACUCCUAGGAGCGGGGGCUCGUGGUAAAAGAACCCACGGCGCCGAAGGCGUCAAGGAACACUGUGCCUAUCCCGGGGAGAUGGCUAGCUUGCUGGUCGUCACCUGUGUUGCAAAUAUAUUUAAUCCACACGACUCUCGGCAACGGAUAUCUCGGCUCUCGCAUCGAUGAAGAACGUAGCGAAAUGCGAUACCUGGUGUGAAUUGCAGAAUCCCGCGAACCAUCGAGUCUUUGAACGCAAGUUGCGCCCGAGGCCACUCGGCCGAGGGCACGCCUGCCUGGGCGUCACGCCAAAACACGCUCCCAACCACCCUCUUCGGGAAUUGGGAUGCGGCAUAUGGUCCCUCGUCCUGCAAGGGGCGGUGGGCCGAAGAUCGGGCUGCCGGCGUACCGCGUCGGACACAGCGCAUGGUGGGCGUCCUUGCUUUAUCAAUGCAGUGCAUCCGACGCGUAGACGGCAUCAUGGCCUCGAAACGACCCAUCGAACGAAGUGCACGUCGCUUCGACCGCGACCCCAGGUCAGGCGGGACUACCCGCUGAGU